This 166-nucleotide small nucleolar RNA is filed under the name Castor canadensis (American beaver). Its description in RNAcentral is "Small nucleolar RNA SNORA73 family (ENSCCNG00000012419.1)". The record is from RNAcentral. Lineage: Eukaryota; Metazoa; Chordata; Mammalia; Rodentia; Castoridae.
CAAAUGUGGAUGCCCCAGGAGGUGGGGCAAGUAGCAUAGGGGAGCACAGCCUUUUCCCCCAUGCACUACAGUCCCUUUCCACACAUUUGAAGCAACCGUACAGUCCUAUGACUUCUUAGAAUCCUGUGGACCCUGACGGAGGAGAUGAACCAUGCAGGAAACAAUA